GACUCCAAUAUCCUAAGGAUAUUGGGAUUAUACAUAUAUCAUAGGAUAUUGGAGUCUU
RNAcentral lists this microRNA precursor (58 nucleotides) under Monodelphis domestica (gray short-tailed opossum). Its description in RNAcentral is "microRNA mdo-mir-7300 precursor". The record is from miRBase by way of RNAcentral. Lineage: Eukaryota; Metazoa; Chordata; Mammalia; Didelphimorphia; Didelphidae.